RNAcentral lists this ribosomal RNA (254 nucleotides) under uncultured bacterium. RNAcentral describes it as "partial 16S ribosomal RNA". It matches the Rfam family "Bacterial small subunit ribosomal RNA", at positions 524 to 776 of the family's 1533-position model. The record is from RNAcentral.
UACGUAGGGUGCAAGCGUUUAAUCGGAAUUACUGGGCGUAAAGCGUGCGCAGGCGGUUAUGUAAGACAGAUGUGAAAUCCCCGGGCUCAACCUGGGAACUGCAUCUGUGACUGCAUAGCUAGAGUACGGUAGAGGGGGAUGGAAUUCCGCGUGUAGCAGUGAAAUGCGUAGAUAUGCGGAGGAACACCGAUGGCGAAGGCAAUCCCCUGGACCUGUACUGACGCUCAUGCACGAAAGCGUGGGGAGCAAACAGG